Trichonephila clavipes is the source of this 73-nucleotide non-coding RNA. Lineage: Eukaryota; Metazoa; Arthropoda; Arachnida; Araneae; Nephilidae. The record is from the annotation of a GenBank genome assembly.
GGCCCUGUAGCGCAUUGGAAAGCGCGUUGGAUUUCUAAUUCAAAGGUCAUGGGUUCGAACCAUACCUGGGCUG